Long non-coding RNA from Dromaius novaehollandiae (emu), 5871 nucleotides. RefSeq lists it as uncharacterized. The record is from RefSeq and is a predicted model, not a curated record. Lineage: Eukaryota; Metazoa; Chordata; Aves; Casuariiformes; Dromaiidae. The transcript is spliced from 2 exons.
UUUGCACCCGGGCAAAGCCUAGAAGACGACCCGAGGGCCAAGAGGGAGCUGCGGAGGGGACAGCGGCAGCCCGGAGACGCGGGAAGGAUCGGCCGUUGGAUCGCACCCGAGCCCUAGCAGAGACCAUGGCUCAGCCAUGUUUGGUCAACCAGCGCGACAGGCAGUGGGAUCAGCACCUCGAGAACACAGAAAAGGAUGUUUUGGCAAGCAGGUUUCAAGACACUGGGCUUGGAGGAAAAAAAACCCGCACAUUCGGGGCUGAAGAGUGGUUACGAGCAAACUGCAGCAUUCCUAUGCUGUGGAUAAGGGAGCGCAGCAAAAACAUGCUUCCCCAGAGCUACACGCAUUGCUGAGCAGGGCCCAACAUCUGCAGCCCAAGAGCAUCACUGCUGUGAGUCACCCCGUGGCCCGAGGCCCUGUGGCUUCAGAGGAGAGGCGAAGAGCCCCCGCACACCCUGCAAGGGAGCCUGUGACUCACCUGGAGACGUUCACAGAUGUCUGAAUAAAUAAAAGCAGCUUCUAAGCCCUUUCCUCACAGACACGCACAGAGGUCACGGACCUGACAGCGUGCAGAGCUCAGGAGCCACCACUUGAGUGAUGAGCAAAAUGGAGGGAAUGUGAUGUGAAGGGGCUCGGUUCUGCCUACAGACACCCCAGAGGCAAGAUUUCAGGCACCGAGAUGUGCAUAAAGCUCUUGAGAGACUCACUGCAACAUGAUUUGUCUUAGCAAAAAAAAUUAAGACUGGGAGCACAGAAAUGGGAGCUUUUCAGACCACCUGUGCAGACCACAAAGCCCAAAUCCCUACCGGCUCUGCUGCUCAGCAGCACAGCUCCGUCAUUCAAGCCAUCAUAAGGCCUGCUACUUGCAGAAAGAGGUUAAAACUGCUUUUAUACAUUGGGAUCCCUUGUGCCAGUUGUGUCUUCUUCCUGGAAGCAGUAAUCAGUGAGCAGCAAAUCCCAAACUAGCUGAUUCAUCACAUCUUCCCUGACAGUUGGCUGCAACCUGCCCAGCAGCCUUGAAGCAGGCUGGCAUGGAGGAUGUCCCUCUUGGGUUACGGGGGCUCUGUCCAGAGUUAAAGAUUUGAAUUUCAAAGCACUCGCCUUCUGGUAGCGGGAAGCAACCCGUCCGUAUCCCAUGGUUAUGCCCUGUGCUACCCUGUCUGGGAGAGCAAGCUACGAAGGGAGAGUGAUGGGGCUGAAAGCUAUCUGCCAUCUGGACCAGCUACUGCUGGAGGGCUUUAUCCCCGGAGCGCAAAGUGCAUCCUGGAUGCAUCGUAUGCUUGAUUAAAAUAUAUUCUUGAUUUAACAGAUGUUGGAAAUGCACAGCCCCAAGAUUUGUUCCGUAUUUCCUUACGGAAGCAAGAGCAACACGCACGCCGCAGUUACCAGUCCCCACUCACCUGGGGCACCUCUCCGUAGGCAGCUCCUGCGCUAGGACAGAGCUUUAGACAAACGUUUGUCUGCUCCGUUGUCGUCCUCCUGCGGCCCAGCUCUGAGCUGGGGAUCCAACCUCUCUGCCCCCACCCUCCAUCCCAUCAGGAGACAUGGGAACAGCAAAUCCACACUACAAGCAGUAAUAAGCCAGGCAUGCUGGGCAAGCACCAUUUUCAUGAAAUGGAAGUGUUUCCCAGGGUAGAGGGCUUCCCUCCUCUAGGCAGUCACAUACUGACUCCUCCAAAAUCUUGAGAAAAUGAAUCACAGGGGCACCAAGCCCGUAACAUACACACAAAGCGUAAACUACGGAGAUCUGUCUCCUAACCUCAGGUUCUAGCAGUACUCUGCACACAAGUGUGGAAGGACUACCAGCAGGCAAGGGCACACAGCAAAAACCACCUUGAAGCAUGUGCUUCAAAGCACCUCAGGUUCUGCAAAUUCGGCUUUGAUUGUACAGACAACCUCCCUAGGACCGCCUACACUACCAGCUGAGAAAGGAUUCUCAUUUAAGAAGAAAAACUUUGCAAACUGACCAUUUUUUACUUAUUAAAAAGGAGAAACUACCACAUAACCACCGUGGACUUGUCGCUGCAAGUUCAGUGAUACCUAAUGACAUUGCAAAGAAAAGUUUAAUAUUCACUUUUUGUCCCAAAACAGCUUCCCUUUUUGAAGGCAUUUUAUAUACUUCUACUGCAUGACACUUGGACAGAAAAUUUCUAACCACAGCUUUUACACACAGCCCCAGCAUGCAGACACCACCCUUCCUCUCCUGCACUGCAAGAGGAAUGACCUUCAUUAUCACAGUUAAGACACAGGUUUCUUAUCUUUACUUCGACUAGCUGGUUUCAAAACAAUUUACGGGCCACCUUCAACGUGCACGUUCAGCAGCAAAGGGAAAUAGCGAGCCAGGAGUUUUCCCAGAUAAAUUUGUUCAAAGUUAACAUCACAGAGCGAAUAUCUAAUGUAAAUGCAAGCUUGGGGUAGAUGUCCUUGGUGGUGAUUUACAUAGAGGUAAAGGCACAUAUAAGACAAACUCCUGGCAGGCAGCUACAUGGGACACAGAGACAAUGGAGUGUUUGUGUAUUAGACUCAAACUGAGAAGGCAAAACUCCCUUUCCCUCCAGUCACCCUCUAUUCCAGAAGUUUCAGUAACCACUAUACAUGGCCAACAGAAAAAUGCUUAGUUAUUCCUGCCUGAGACAAGAUCUGGUAUGAAAUGGGACUGAUAAGCUAAUCCUUUAUAUCGACGAGCUGCAGAGCUCAGUAUCUGGUUACUGUCGUCACUGUUACUCACCCGCACUCCAGCACGCCCUCUGCCCUGCUCUCCUCCAUGAGACAGUCAGUAGCAAAAAUGUUCGCUUGCUGAAUUUCCAAGCCCAGUUCAUUCUGGACACAACAGCACUGCACUUCUGACAGGCCCAGAUUCAGCACCCCACUCCCGUCUUGAGCAACCAACCCAGAGCCACAGUGGUUUCAGAAGGCUUAGGGGGUUCUUCUUAAUUUGUUCAGCUGAGAACUCAUUGCUUCUGGGCUAUUCAGCGUCAAUAGGUCAACACUUCUCCAUUGCUUGUACAGAAACAGACUCAAGUCCUUCAUAACCGUUUCAAUUAUUUUAGUUUAUCUCCUGCAACUCCUCUCCCCCCACUCUGUUUAUCGUCUCUGAAAAGCACCUUUUGGUUUUAAAAGUUUAGAUCUUCUUUUCAAAGGGAAACAUCAGUGUGAGAACGUGGAAUAUCUUUACAUUCAAAGCCCUUUCCCUUACAAAUCCUCUUUGAAAUAACUCCUUUGUUUGAUCAUUUAUGCUUUUUUUUAAACUCACAUCUGACUGUGAGUCAGUAUUAUUCUUGAUCACUGCUGCUUUGCUUACUGCUUCUUGGACAAUGGAAUAUCACACUGUGUUUGAACGCAAUCAUGCUGCAGUAAAACAAAUAUGGAUUUUGUUUGUGAAACUGCUUCUGGUCAUAUUAAAGCUUCCUGCUUCUUCCUGAACAACAGAAAACAGGACCACUUUCAUUAGCACCAAAAGGAUUUUAAAUGAACAGUUCCAGGGAGCUCCUUUCAAAUCAUAAAACGUGAAUUUUACAUAAAAGUGUGUUUACAAAUUUUUUCCGCUUUACACUCAGCUCUGCCCAUCACUGACCAGAAGUUAUAUACAUACAGACUAGCUCAGUAGCUUCAACCACUUGCAAGGAGACUGCAGAAUUUAUUUAAGAAAUAAAAAUACGAUUUCCUGGUUCCUAGAAAUUCUCUUCAGCCUGCCAGAUUCAGUCACCUGCCGGCUGCUGCAGACUCAGGAGAGCACUAAGCUUUUGGAGAAAAGGGGUACUGUGGGUGCCACCAAUCCAGGAGCCGCACGCUAUGCACUGGGUCCAACACCACCUGUACUCCUUGAUCAAGGCGAGGUUUCUUGCCAUUGCGAACAGGAGCAUCCUGGAACACCAGGCGCACACGAUGAUGCCUCAUGUCUGUACUCACAUUGAUGGUGAACUGCAAGAAAAAAAGACAAGGACGUGCUAUAGGAGAUGUAUUUUCUGGAAAUAUCCAGUUGUUUCCAGAUACUGUGAUUAUAGACUCUGAUCACUGACACUGGAUAUCAAAGUUACUUCUUUUUGGUUAAGUCAACAUUUAAAAUACAGAACUGAUAACUCCCUUUAGAUAAGUUUUUCACUUACACAAAAAAGAUUUAGAUAUAAUUGCUGAUUUUAUUCACCUCAAAGGAGAAAAUACCAUUUCAAAUCAAAGCAACAAAUGAAUGCAAGAAUUUCAACUGAUCUAAAAGUGAACUGUUAAGAACUCAAAGUUAUACGCAUCUAGAGUAUUUCAGGUGCUGGCAGAGCUAAGCUCCAACUCCACAGCACUGGAUCCAAACCAGUUCUCUUGGGCUGGCAACCCUGAGAAACAAUGGAGAAGUGAUCUUGGAAGCAAGAGGUUGUCAGAGGACUUUGGCAUUCACUGCUCCACACUAAGGGAGGCCAGACCAAACCCUUCUUGGGCACAGGCCACAUUUUAAACCCUGACAAUUAAGGCCAACAUGCUGCCCCAUGCUUUACUGCUGCUCCUGCUGUGAGCACACCUGGUCUGCUAUUUUCUGACACAAUACUUCUUUCUGGAGCAACUUUGGGGAGCCGCCACUCCCAGUGAGUUUGUGGAAGUUGGUUCAAAAGCUGCUGUUUCUCCCAGCAAUGAGGUAACAUCGUCAAACUGGGACAAAAACACUGCAACACUAUUCCCUGCUGGAGCAUGGAUAACUAACCACUCCCAGCCAUAGCAAAACCUCAGCUUCUUGCAAAUUCUCUACCUCAUUGAUAUUUGCUUACAUCAAAUAGGAAAGAGCUGAUGGAUCUGCAGAACUAAACUGAGGAAAUCCUCAGCAAUGCCUCUGAGAAUUAACUUGGAGAUGCCCACAACUAGUUUGUUGAUGCAACAGCAUGCAUAAAACCAUAUGGGACCAUAUUUACAUAAAACCAUAGGGACCAGAGGUCUCCUCUUCACCUCCUGCUAGAAACUCUAAGUACAAAGUUUGCCUACAAGUUUUUCCAAACACUUACCAAGGUAAACGUCAUACCCAUGACUAUUGGCACAAAUAUGAAGUUAAACGUGGUGAUCUGCAGUAGACAGCAAUCCUGAUCAGGGUUUGUAUGGACUUCCUCAUAUUGAAUGGGUGGCUGAAGACCUUUGCAACAGUUGCUCUUUAAUCUGGGAGACUUGAAAGAAAGAGAGAAAUUUAUUUAGCUAAGUAGGAACCUAUGAAGAAUUUGGCUUCUUCUCCCUGGUGCUGACUAGCAGGUUCUCACUGAAGUCCCACACAUUUUGGUAAACUAUUUUAUAAACAAUGAAAAGCCAUCACUCAGGAAUGGGAAUUUUCAGGACGAUUUCUUUGGAGAGGAGAGCUGCCAGACUCUCAAGGUUGUCCUACACACCACACUUACCAUGAGAGCCAUUACUGGUGGUUUUCAUUAGCACAUGUCAGCUUUCUUCACUUCUAAGGGGAAUCCUUCUGAAGUUAAGGCUAGAAGUUUCAGAUUUAGGCCUGUAUUUUGACCAUGAAACUCAGAAAGUCUGGGUUUUGGUGGUAACAAGUAACAGUAACCUAAGGAUUAGGUUAUUUGGGGUGACAAAUGAUCCAUGUAUUAAAGUAGAGAGAGGAUAUCAAAUGAGGAAAUGAAAAUGUAGGAAUCUAAACACAUCGGUAAUAUAGACUGAAAAUUGAGUGUAGUCUCAAAAUGUGCUUUAUCAUGGGAUUCAAAGUUUCCAUUCAUCGUUUGAACUCAGAGGUGUCCUUUCUACCACCCAGAAAAAUCGUUAGUGCUUAAAAAAAAAAAAGUCAUAGCUGUUCUGUCUCUUCAUUCACGACAGUUUAGCUUUCAUACCUGCUUUUUGAACUUGAAAUUGAAUUCCCACAUUGAUUCUUGUCUGUUCCCUUCAAUCUUUUUGCAC